This is a long non-coding RNA of Raphanus sativus (radish), 1208 nucleotides long. RefSeq lists it as uncharacterized. The transcript has 3 exons. Lineage: Eukaryota; Viridiplantae; Streptophyta; Magnoliopsida; Brassicales; Brassicaceae. The record is from RefSeq and is a predicted model, not a curated record.
GAUAGGAUAAGGUAUCGAAAUAUGACGACGACCUUGAUGGCGACAUGAAUAACGGCGGAAACGGGAUAAUGGCGACGGAUGCAGAAGAGACGACAGCUAUGAUGGUCAUUACCCAGUUUCCUCAAAUAUUUCCAAACAAGACGACCACUCCUAAAGACGCUGAAAAAUCUGACGGCUCCUAUCAAACAGAAUGGCCAAUUCCAAGACGACUCAUUAUCGACGGCUCGGGCUGAUCUCUUUCCUCAACUACGUUCUUCCUAAACAUGAAGAUGACGAAGACCUAAACAUUGUGACAAGAGGCCUCCUAAUUUGCUGCUGGUGACUUAUUUAAUGAAGAGCGAUCAGCUAUUGUGCUUUAGGCUUUAGGCUUAUCUCUCAGGUGGGAUCCUCUCUCAGUUUUCUUGCAGUGAUCAGGAACAAGUGCUUAACGUUCUUCCUCUGUUUAGUUACUUAAAAGAAGAACCCAGAUCUGUGUCAGAAGUUGCAGAAGAAGAAAAAAAGUUUCCAUGAUGCGUAAAGAGAGUAAAGCAGUCUUGGACGCUUGCUUGCUUUCGUAGGCGGAUGUUAGUCUCAGGCUCCGGACUGUAGGGAUUGAUAUGUAAACAGUUGGGGUAGACAUUUCAGAGUUACUGCUACAGAAAUUGUGAGGCAAUCGGUUGAAGAGCUGCUCUACAUCUUUGGCUCAGCAUUUGUCAUGAAGAAUGAAAACUCAGGUUGUUUAGUUGGAUGUGGUGAGUCUCUGAUUGCUUCGGUCUUACGUUGAGAGGAUGCAUUUUCUGUGAGUUUUGUUUGUUUCACAUUUUUUACUUUAAGAUUUUUGGCUGAUUGAAUUCUCUUGAAUAAAGCGUAUAAAAAGAUCAUUAACAUUAGUUUUUGGAUUGAGGCGAAAAUAUAAUAGAAAAUUUAUUGGAUUCUAUUCACUGAGCAUGAUGUAACCCAAAUUUGUCCUCCCCCUUAUUAGUGAUGACUUAGCUCUCGAUUUGCCUAAAUUAUAUAUGCUACAUGUGAUUAGCUACAAACUUACAAUGAGCUUUUAAGUUGUCUGCAGCAGUUUGACUUCCAUGACUGUAAUUCUUUUUUUUUUAAGUUGUCUGCAGCAGUUCGUACACUUCAUUUAUCUAUACUGCCAUACAUGCUAUUCAUUUUGAUCUCUUUUUUUUCUUAAAACAUUUUGAUCAUUUUUAACAAAGGAAAUCAUUUUGAUCGUA